This 455-nucleotide ribosomal RNA is filed under the name uncultured Verrucomicrobiota bacterium. Its description in RNAcentral is "bacterial SSU rRNA". It matches the Rfam family "Bacterial small subunit ribosomal RNA", at positions 355 to 801 of the family's 1533-position model. Lineage: Bacteria; Pseudomonadati; Verrucomicrobiota. The record is from RNAcentral.
UCGAGAAUUUUUCUCAAUGGGCGCAAGCCUGAAGGAGCGACGCCGCGUGGAGGAUGAAGGUCUUCGGAUUGUAAACUCCUGUCAUUAGGGAACAAAGUCCCCGGUUAACCGCCGGCGGGCCUGAUAGUACCUGAAGAGGAAGAGACGGCUAACUCUGUGCCAGCAGCCGCGGUAAUACAGAGGUCUCAAGCGUUGUUCGGAUUCAUUGGGCGUAAAGGGUGCGUAGGUGGCGCCGUAAGUCAGGUGUGAAAUCUCGGGGCUCAACCCCGAAACUGCACUUGAUACUGCGGUGCUCGAGUACUGGAGAGGAGAUUGGAAUUUACGGUGUAGCAGUGAAAUGCGUAGAUAUCGUAAGGAAGACCAGUGGCGAAGGCGAAUCUCUGGACAGUUACUGACACUGAGGCACGGAAGGCCAGGGGGAGCAAACGGGAUUAGAUACCCCGGUAGUCCUGGCA